CAAACAUGCACAUAUGGGUCCCAUAUGGGCUGUUUCUGGGCAAACCCAUAUGGGUAAGCCCAUAUGGGAGUCAUUUGGGACCAAUAUGGGCUAGCCCAUAUGGGAAUGCCCACAAGGGUCCCAUAUAGGUCCCAUAUUAUUGCGCUAUCGGGAAAAUAUGUAAACUUGUAUUUAUUUGAUUAAAAACUCAUUUUUUAAAACGUAUGUAGGACUAACUUGAUCUAAACUGCUAAUAUUUUACCCAAAAAUAGAAAAUCAAUGCAUAAGCAAAUAAUAUGCGGCCCAUAUGGGUCCCAUACGGGUCCCAUAUGGGAGUCAUUUGGGAGCUAUAUGGGCUUGCCCAUGUGGGAAUGCCGAUAAGGGUCCCAUAUAGGUCCCAUAUUAUUGCGCUAUCACGAAAAAGAUGUAAACUUGUAUUUAUUUGAUUAAAAACUCAUUUCUUAAAACGUAUGCUGAUCUAAACUGCUAAUAUUUUACCCAAAAAUAGAAAAUCAAUGCAUAAUCAAAUAAUAUGCAGUCCAUAUAGGUCCCAUAUGGGUCCCAUUUGGGCCGCCCAACAAAGCACAAAAUCAUCUACCGGGCUGUUUCUGGGAAAACUCAUAUGGGUAAGCCCAAAUGGGAGUCAUUUGGGACCUUUAUGGGUAAGCCCAUAUGGGAAUGCCCUUAAGGGUCCCAUAUAGGUCCCAUAUUAUUGCGCUAUUAAGAAAAAGAUAUAAACUUUUAUUUAUUUGAUUAAAAACUAAUUUCUUAAAACGUAUGUAUGACAAACUUGAUCUCAACUGCUAAUAUUUUACCAAAAAAUAUACAAUCAAUGCAUAAGCAAAUAAUAUGCAGCCCAUAUGGGUCCCAUUUGGGCCGCCCAACAAAGGACAAAAUCAGCUAUCGGGCGCACAUUUUUUGAAAAUUCUGUUUUUGAUAUUGCUAUGUUUUCAAUAAUGUAUAUACUAUGAUUAAUAUGUAGUUAUUUUCAAGAGAUAAUUUUAAUUUAAAUAAUCGCGCAGAAAAAUAAAGUAUUUAAAUAAAAUGCGCAUGCGCAGAUGUUAAUUCCGCCUCGCGAAAACAUUCAAAACAAAAUCACUCGAAACGGGUAAUUUGUUAAAUUGUGAUAUUAUACACGCAAUUAUAUAUUUCUUUUAAAAUCAGAUAUAUAUUGCUGAUCACGCAUUAUUUAUUUAUCUGUUACUUCAAUGAAUGCCUGUGUGUUUAAUAAUUUGAACUGCAAAUUAUGAGACUUUUUAUUCGCUUUGCAUUUGUCAUGUAUUUUCGCGACGUAAGUCGUUACGUUCGAUUGUCGCCAUAGAUCAAUCUCUUAGUUAAACUGCUUAAUUCAACUUGAUUCUGCCUAAAAUUCAAUACAAACUAUUUAUAGCAGACAGGCGCAUGUCUGAAAAAAUGGAACACUUAAUGAGUAAUCAUGCUAAUGCAUGAGAAUCUUACUUAUCUCAUACAUUGAUAUUAUUAAUUUAAACGUAUUACAUCAAAGACGUAUAAUAUAAUGUUUUUUUAUAGAUCUUUGAUUACUUGCACGCAAGCCAAGGUUGUCUGCCUGUGGGCAAAUUUUAAUGAUUAUUUAAACACAUAUUUGCAGAAUAUUAAAAAAGUCUGUGUAUUAAGAAAUAAUUAAAUUUGUAAUGUUUAUUGUACAAAUUUAUUUCAGAAAAUAAAAUAUUCACCACCGCCUCGUUUGCCAACAUAAUCUUUACAAGGAAUGUCCAGCAGUGCAUGGCAGAGGUCGGUCACUCCCAUUAAGUCCAGGCAGCUGAAGAGCCUUCCCAAAGACAGUUCAUAGGACAAAAUGCAGUUACACAGAUUUUAACGGUGUUGGAAACAAUGAGAGAUGAGAACAGGGAAAUGAAGCAGAUGCUGCAGUGGCUCUUGGCUAGGUCAGCUACUGAUGACGAGCCAAUGCAACUGCCAGAGAACAUCAGUCUUCCAAUUGGAACAUUUGAGCAAAUGGAUGAGUUUGAAGAGCAUCUUGGUGAUGAAGCUACGAUCCAUCUUUUCUAGGACUGCUGCAUAGUUCAAGCUUUUUUAAGCUUUUUUAUCAAAUAUAUUAAGCAAUGUUGUAAAUCAGUGUCCGACAAAUUUCUUAUUUUUCAGGUAGCCCACUGGGCUACCAAUAAAAAUAUUUGGUAGCCCAUAAAAUUUUCCUACAAAAUGAUAAGAGGCAGGUUUUCAUCUUUAUUUUAUUUCUUCAUUUAGAUAUACAUAAUAUGUAUACAUACAUAUACAUAAAACAGCAAGUAGUCUGAUGUACAUGUAGUCAAUAUCGUAAAUUAAUGUUACAGUACAUGCACCGUGUACUUAAAUGUAAAUGUACCAAAGAAAAACAGAUACUACAUGUAGAUAUUACAUGUAUGUGCACAUGUAUGUGUACUUAAAUUCGGACAGCACGUUAAGUCGUAAACGUAAAUAAAGCGUUUAGAUGAUCAAUACGAUUGACUCGUAUGGUGUUAAUCAAUGCAAUUGCCCUUUUUAACAACAAAUACUGAGUUUCAAGAAAUCAAGAGUAUUAAAGCAUUUAUUUACUUGUGUCCGACUUUAAGUACUAUCCGAAUUUACGUAUUUCAUCCGUAUGUUACGAAACUUGUGUGCAGUCAGUACACAAUACAAUAAUUGUUUCAAUAAUGAAGGAACUCGUGUUUACAUGAUAUUUUAUUAAGAGAAAAUGUCAAUGCCAAAUAAUUCGCGAUAUAUCCCGGUACUUUAGUUAAAAUUCACAACGAAACUUUUAAUGGAAAUUAAAUGAUCUCAAUGUUGUACUCGCUACGAAUUUUUUUAUUUACAAAUAAAUACACCCACGCCAAUUUUUGCACGCUUUUUAUCAGGACAAAGAAAUUCAUUUCUUAAAUGCAGAAUUUUGUAACCUAAAAUAGCUGUACACAACGCGUGCAAACCGUGGCAGGUUAUUUACGCAUGUUGCAAUACAACGGUCCUGAUUGGGAGCUUAUUUCAUCAUAUCUUUAAAUAGAACCAUAUGCCGAUAUUCAUUUGACACUUUAGAAAAUUUCAAACGUUUGUGUUUAUGACUCUUAUUGUCUAUAUUACCCACCCAUAAUUUGGUUUUAAAAAUAUAAAUCGGGUAUAUAUGGGAUUAUUGAUAAACAGGCGAUUAAUCCAAUUAUUAAUUGACAAUGCAAAUUAAUUAGCAGGUGUUAACCGCGUUCACAAAGUUGUCAUUAAUAUUCAUUUUCGGUUUCGUUACCGUUUUGAAGAAUCCGCUAUUGUUUUGAUUUAUUUAAUGUUUGGCGUCCUUCGAUAUUUAACGACAUCAAAAACGUUGUCGCUAUUACUCAUUGUUGCGGUAAACAAAGAAUUCCAAACUGCGAAAUGAUGUUGCAUCAUGUGCGCCAACUAUCCAACCGGCUCUCAUUAUAUUAUUAGCAGACGACAAAUGUUGAUUCUGAUUGGAUGAUUAAAAUACACUGUUACUGUUUAAGACAUUACCGCAAGUGAUCGGUGACUGAUUAGAUAAUUGAUUGCACUUUGUUAUCGGAUUAUAAGCAAUACACAGUGUACAAACACAUGGUCAGCGUGUUUAUUCUACGUAUGUCUGUCAAUAAACCGGGCUACCGCUCUUAUAGAUUUAUAGUAGCCCGGCGGGCGUCAGCUGGAAAAUUUCAGUAGCCCGAUGAAAAAUUUCGGUAGCCCCCGGGCUCCGGGCAAUGGAUUUGUCGGACACUGUAAAUGUAAUUGACAGUUUUUUAUCCAUUGAUCCUAAACCAUUCCUUUAAGGCUCAUCUUCUAAGAAAGCAUACAAUCUUUUUUAUCUGGAAAUGAAACGGUAUAUAUUCCUUUGCAAAAGAAGAAACAGCAUUCCAGUUUUUGAAGGUUUUAAAAGACAUAUAUAUAUAUAUCAUGUGCAGUUACGAAAAACACUGGAAUGUAUGAAGAUAUCAAAGAUAAUAAUGUGGACUUGUUCUCAAAAAAGGAUUUGCCAUUUAUUUGAGUUUUGGAUUUUUCUGCAGGGUUUUUAAUUUGUAGUUUAUAAAAUAUUUUGUAUACCAGUAGUCUUGCAAGUAUGUUUUCUACGAAUGUUCUUUGAGUACAUGGUGUGUUAUUUGUAUUGGUUAAAGAUUUAAUAUGCAUGGGCAGAGCUCCAGAUAAGGUUUUGUGAAAUUCUUAAAUUACUACCAGAUUUUCAAAAAGAAUUCUUAACUCUGAAAUUUUAUUCUUAACGUUACUACUUAGUUUUGGAAAAUAAUUCUUAUUUUUUGUAAAUGACCUAAAAAUAAAUAAUAAUGGUUAUUUUCAUGCAAAAAAAAUCAAAAUAAACAUAUUAGCAACUUUAUUUAUACUAGUUCAACAGUGUCUUUUCAGUAUUAUACAAUUUUAUUUUUCAAAAACCUUCAUAUGCCCAAACUGUGCUCAGAUUGCAUGCCUUAGAUGAAUUUUUACAUAUUUCACAAUUAAAACGGGUCUCCCCUUCAAUCUUUUCAACGAUUAGCCAUGGGACUUGUCCCUUCCACUCGUUUAAUGUUUUUUGUGUGUUUAAGUUUGGACCCGUCGUGUUGCAUUUUUGUUUAGCUUUUCCGACUGUGUCAGCAACUGAAAAUACAACAUCGUAUAAGAUCUUUUCUAUAAUGUCUUUCUAAACAUUUAACUUUGGCUCACUUUGUGUACAAUAUGUUAAAAGCGUGUUUUUGGACGCUUUGCAGUUUUUUAGGACGCUCUCUGGGCGCUGACAUUGUUUUUUAACAGAUAGACUGUAUACGCCGCUUUUAUUGGAAAAAAUGCGCUUUGUUAAACAAACCCGAUAACCAUUCUAUAUAAGCACCGCAAUGAUCUUUAAUACGUGAAAAGAACUCAAUAAAAAUCGAUACAAACCGAUGUAAAAAUAAUAUUCGUAACUUGAUUUUGUAAUUCUUAAUGGUAUGACAAGAUAUUAAAAUAAAUAUGUAACGGGCUUGAAAAUAAUUCGCAAUUACGAAAAUACGACCCUUAUCUGGAGCUCUGCAUGGGUAUGCUUUGUAGUAAUGUGUAGAACAUCAGGAAAAUACUUGAAGGUAUUCUGUAUAUGUAAUAUAUAUUUAAUUUCAAAAUAAUAGAAGUCCUUAAUUCUAUAGUCGUAUAACUGGGUGACAUAUAUAAUGUUAUAGAAAAACGUCUUAUUGUUUGAAGUUAUGUCUUUAUUGUUCCUUAAAAUAGUUUUACUGUUGGUUUGGGUUUAUAGAUUAUGAGUAACAUUACUCCAUGCGGAUAGAACAUUAGAUAGAAACAUGUUUUUGUUAGCAACUUCAUGUAAAAUAUUUUUGCUCAUGUUACAUUCAGAAAGUUAGGAAUCACCAUAUUAUUUUAGAAUUUUCUGGUAGAAUAGUUAACGUGGGAUCCUCCUGCUAUGUAUGUAUGAAUCCAUGUAUAUGUGUGUAAUACUUUAUGUGAAUAAAAGUUGAGAGUA
Long non-coding RNA from Dreissena polymorpha, 5398 nucleotides. RefSeq lists it as uncharacterized. The transcript has 2 exons. Lineage: Eukaryota; Metazoa; Mollusca; Bivalvia; Myida; Dreissenidae. The record is from RefSeq and is a predicted model, not a curated record.